UGAGCAGAACUGAAUCAUGGGAGACUGGAAUGGAGUCACUCUUCCAUUUUUAUGAGCUCAGGGAGGAGUCAAAAGAAAAAGCGAUUUAUCUGUGUGGCUUCUUACAGACACUGAAAUGAGAGAGACAUUGGAAGCUCAGGUAGAACAGCAAAAUGCUGGAAGAAACAGAAUUAAGAUGGACGGAAACAUUAGGCUUCAAUAACAGGGCAGAACUCCAAUCUCAACUUGACUUUGCCUCAGAUGCUCUAUAUGCCACCCUCCAGGCUUCCUGUCCUUUUCCUGACCCCCAAGGCUCUGGAAUUCGAUUUUUACAGGGUCUUGGCAAUAUAAUUGUCUCCACUUGUUGCUGCUGCUGCUGUCACUGUGGCUGCCAGCUGCUGCCUGUGAAGAAUUAGGAUCCAGCAAUGAUUCCUACAUAAUUGAAAUAAAUUCCCAGGCUAAGGACGUUACCGUUCGGGAAAUAAGCUUUCUGAUAGAGUAUCUAAAAAGUCAUACCAGGGAACUGUUGCAAGUCACACUAAUGCUGGCGUUUAUCUGAGAGGCAGUUUGGAAUGAUGGAAUAAACAAUGGACUGAGAAUCAGAAGAAUUCCGCCACUUCCUACCCGUAUAUGCCUGGAGACAAGACACUUGGCCACCUUGUCUCGUUUUUCCUCAU
Molecule: long non-coding RNA, 656 nt
Organism: Phascolarctos cinereus (koala)
Lineage: Eukaryota; Metazoa; Chordata; Mammalia; Diprotodontia; Phascolarctidae
Source: RefSeq, a predicted model, not a curated record